AAAUCAAUUUCUAAAUCUAAAGAUGUUGUUUCCAUCACUAAGUUUUCAAAAGCUUACAUUGGAUUUGUUCUUGGCAAAUAAAAUUGAAAUAUUUUCUGUAUUUGCUAAAUCUUGUAAAAGUGUUUCAAAUGAUAAAGGUUUCCAAAUUGUGAAGAUAAAGAGUAUAAUGGCACAGUGUUGAAAACCAAAAUCCUGAUAAAGUUUAUACAGAAAUUAAUUAUUUCAGCACCAAGGACAUCUUAAGUAAAAUAGGGUUAAUAGAAUUCUUGAAGAAAUGAAAAAGACAAUUGUGUAUGAUAGUCAUCUACUCAAAUGAUUUUUAGAAGCUAUCAUCACUGCUUGUCAUACAUAUGAUUUCUAUUUUUGAUGAAAACUCCUUUUGAUCUUCUGAAAAAUGGAAAAUGAACCAUUGCAUAUCUUUCAUAUUUUUCAGUCGUACAUGUUAUGCUUGAUAUGUUCUCUUGAAAAAUAAUGCCAAAUCUAAUAAAGAUAUUUCUAUCCUUGGAUAUCAUUCAU
This 516-nucleotide long non-coding RNA is filed under the name Phoenix dactylifera (date palm). RNAcentral's name for it is "long non-coding RNA (PDAC_LNC012521)". Lineage: Eukaryota; Viridiplantae; Streptophyta; Magnoliopsida; Arecales; Arecaceae. The record is from RNAcentral.